Molecule: long non-coding RNA, 1042 nt
Filed under: Gallus gallus (chicken)
Lineage: Eukaryota; Metazoa; Chordata; Aves; Galliformes; Phasianidae
Source: RNAcentral
CUCCAGUUUCUGUGCUUCUCCAUCCUGAGUGAUCUGAAAAUAGCUCCCAUCAGCUUCAAUUUUGAUCUUAGCUGCUGCUUUCCCAGGCUUUUUUUCCACUUUUACUGGUUUGAUACAUUCCUGCGAGGGCCCGAUGUAGUCGUCCAGGUCCGUCAGCUGCAGCACCCCGCUGAAGGGAGACGCCAUCACCGCCGCGCCGCCGUCAAGCGCGGCAGCCGGCGGGAGGGCAGGGGCUGCGACACUGUCGUAAAAGCGCGAUGCCACACUGCCGUCAAAUCCAUCCUGUUCUUCCGUUUCACCUUCAGGUACCCCCUGUGAGAAGCAGUGGAUCUGGCUGCUGAUGCAGAGCCAUGCUGCACCGUGUGGUCUCUGCUGCUUUCUUCAUCAACUCUUUUCUGGACCUGCAUUUCUUCCAGCAGCAUGACCAGGGCUCGGCAGCAACACAGGCUUAUCUGACCUUCCUUUUUGAGCUGCCUGCUUGCAAUGCUGACUUUUUGAAAGGCACAUGACACCGAAAGCGAUGGUAUUUGAAGCCUGAUUGAAGAGUCUUCCAUCUGUCUCAAGGAGACUUCAUUUGGAUUUCCUGGAGAAGAAGCUUCUUGCUUUGAACUGGGAAUCUAUGAGUUUGAUUAUUUAUAAAAUGAUGUCUUUCAGGUUUACAUAGAAAUGGAUAGCUUAAAUGGAAGCUGAUAAGGAUAAGAGUUGCUUUCACGUUUGGCAUCCUAUGGACUUCUAGAUCACACAAACAAUAAGUAUGAAUCAGUAAUAUUGUACAAGUUUCAAAAUAGCUGAUAAACAUAUUAAGUGUGCUAAGAAAACUGGGAGUGGGAAGGGAGCCGGGUUUGGGUAUGUGGUGGUGCUGUGAGUCAACACCAGCCUUUCUCUGCACUGCCACAAACACAUGAGUUGUAGGUGGGUGUGAUGGGACAAGCCUGAGCCUGGGACUUAAAUGGCCUACAGGGAACCUUCUCUUGAAAAAACAUCAAUAAAGUGACCAAAGACAGAUUUUCAAAUUUGAGUAUGCAGAAUUAUUUGGUUGCAC